CUCUUAUAAAGAGAGGUCGAGGGACUGGCCCUAUGACACCUCGGCAACCUAUCCCACCGAUAUGGUGCCAAAUCCAGCGGAAAUCAAUUCCGACAGAUAAGAG
RNAcentral lists this non-coding RNA (103 nucleotides) under Brevibacillus sp. RNAcentral describes it as "SAM-I sequence". It matches the Rfam family "SAM riboswitch aptamer (S box leader)". Rfam says of the family: The SAM riboswitch is found upstream of a number of genes which code for proteins involved in methionine or cysteine biosynthesis in Gram-positive bacteria. The SAM riboswitch acts at the level of transcription termination control. The predicted structure consists of a complex stem-loop region followed by a single stem loop terminator region. Lineage: Bacteria; Bacillati; Bacillota; Bacilli; Caryophanales; Paenibacillaceae. The record is from RNAcentral.